RNAcentral lists this long non-coding RNA (932 nucleotides) under Malus domestica (apple). RNAcentral's name for it is "long non-coding RNA (MDOM_LNC009197)". Lineage: Eukaryota; Viridiplantae; Streptophyta; Magnoliopsida; Rosales; Rosaceae. The record is from RNAcentral.
AAGAACAGAUAAGGCAAGUGAAAAUAAUACCUUGCAGCACGUGGAGACAACGUGCAGAAGAAACAAGCAGAGAAGAAUGCAGCCUGCACAGUCAACUCCGCAGAAGGAGUCUAAGAUGAGGAACUCGAGAAGAUGCCACAUCUGCCUGAGGAACAGAUAAAGGAAAUGAAAAUGAUACCUUGAAGCAUGUGGAGACAAGUGUAACAAAGCACGUGCUGAUUCAUCCGCUAUUUCUUCAAAAUCAAAAGUAUCUCAUAUCAUCAGGGUUGCAAUCACUUUGGAUAGUGAACUCGUUUUGACCCUCAAAUUCUUGGGUCGACUUACUAGGCGUUGUGGGCUGCACGUGUCGAUUCACCACCCUUGAAUCAAAUCCUUAAAGAUCAAGUCACAAACUGGAAGAAUAGCCCAUCAAUCUUGAAGAUCAUACCGUUGACCAAACUGCUCAGGUGUGAAUUAGAAAGAUUGAACAAAGCAACAAGUCGUCACCUUCACCUCGUGCCGGCUUGUCAUGUGUUCGAGUCAACCUUCAAGAAUCAAGCCUCAACGACCCUUGAAGAAGUUUCCAGCCAAAUUCAAGAUCAACCCUCGACGGCCCUUGAGGAAAUCACAAGUCCGAUUCAAGAUCAAGUGUCUAUCACCCAUGAAUCAAAACCAGUUCAAGAAUAAGCUGUGGAAAGUCAACAAUUGGAGGAAACUAGAAAAUCCUCCAACCUAGUUCAAGAAUAAGCUGUGGAAAGUCAACAACUGGAGAAAUCCAGAAAAUCCUCCAACCCAGUUCAAGAUCAAAGCUGUGGAAAGUCAACAAGUGCAACAAAAUACGUGCCGAUUCAUCCACUACCAAAGCCAAGGAUAAUCUACCACAUGAAGCUCCUUGUGGUCCAAUUUCAACCUUCAAGAUCAAGCCUCGACGGCCCUUGAAGAAAUCUCAAGCC